This is a non-coding RNA of Capsicum annuum, 80 nucleotides long. The record is from Rfam. Lineage: Eukaryota; Viridiplantae; Streptophyta; Magnoliopsida; Solanales; Solanaceae.
GUCGAUACGUCCAAGUCGUUAAGGAGAGACUUGAAAUCUGUUGGGCUUCACCCGCGCAGGUUCGAACCCUGCUGUCCACG